UUAAGCGACUAAGCGUACACGGUGGAUGCCCUGGCAGUCAGAGGCGAUGAAGGACGUGCUAAUCUGCGAAAAGCGUCGGUAAGGUGAUAUGAACCGUUAUAACCGGCGAUGUCCGAAUGGGGAAACCCAGUGUGAUUCGUCACACUAUCGUUAACUGAAUACAUAGGUUAACGAGGCGAACCGGGGGAACUGAAACAUCUAAGUACCCCGAGGAAAAGAAAUCAACCGAGAUUCCCCCAGUAGCGGCGAGCGAACGGGGAGCAGCCCAGAGUCUGAAUCAGCUUGUGUGUUAGUGGAACGGUCUGGAAAGUCCGACGGUACAGGGUGAUAGUCCCGUACACCAAAAUGCACAGGUUGUGAACUCGAAGAGUAGGGCGGGACACGUGGUAUCCUGUCUGAAUAUGGGGGGACCAUCCUCCAAGGCUAAAUACUCCUGACUGACCGAUAGUGAACCAGUACCGUGAGGGAAAGGCGAAAAGAACCCCGGCGAGGGGAGUGAAAAAGAACCUGAAACCGUGUACGUACAAGCAGUGGGAGCACCUUCGGGUGUGACUGCGUACCUUUUGUAUAAUGGGUCAGCGACUUAUAUUCUGUAGCAAGGUUAACCGUAUAGGGGAGCCGCAGGGAAACCGAGUCUUAACUGGGCGUUAAGUUGCAGGGUAUAGACCCGAAACCCGGUGAUCUAGCCAUGGGCAGGUUGAAGGUUGGGUAACACUAACUGGAGGACCGAACCGACUAAUGUUGAAAAAUUAGCGGAUGACUUGUGGCUGGGGGUGAAAGGCCAAUCAAACCGGGAGAUAGCUGGUUCUCCCCGAAAGCUAUUUAGGUAGCGCCUCGUAAAUUCAUCUUCGGGGGUAGAGCACUGUUUCGGCUAGGGGGUCAUCCCGACUUACCAACCCGAUGCAAACUACGAAUACCGAAGAAUGUUAUCACGGGAGACACACGGCGGGUGCUAACGUCCGUCGUGAAGAGGGAAACAACCCAGACCGCCAGCUAAGGUCCCAAAGUCAUGGUUAAGUGGGAAACGAUGUGGGAAGGCACAGACAGCCAGGAUGUUGGCUUAGAAGCAGCCAUCAUUUAAAGAAAGCGUAAUAGCUCACUGGUCGAGUCGGCCUGCGCGGAAGAUGUAACGGGGCUAAACCAUGCACCGAAGCUGCGGCAGCGACACUAUGUGUUGUUGGGUAGGGGAGCGUUCUGUAAGCCUGCGAAGGUGGCCUGUGAGGGUUGCUGGAGGUAUCAGAAGUGCGAAUGCUGACAUAAGUAACGAUAAAGCGGGUGAAAAGCCCGCUCGCCGGAAGACCAAGGGUUCCUGUCCAACGUUAAUCGGGGCAGGGUGAGUCGACCCCUAAGGCGAGGCCGAAAGGCGUAGUCGAUGGGAAACAGGUUAAUAUUCCUGUACUUGGUGUUACUGCGAAGGGGGGACGGAGAAGGCUAUGUUAGCCGGGCGACGGUUGUCCCGGUUUAAGCAUGUAGGCUGGUUAUCCAGGCAAAUCCGGAUAAUCAAGGCUGAGGUGUGAUGACGAGGCACUACGGUGCUGAAGUAACAAAUGCCCUGCUUCCAGGAAAAGCCUCUAAGCAUCAGGUAACAUUAAAUCGUACCCCAAACCGACACAGGUGGUCAGGUAGAGAAUACCAAGGCGCUUGAGAGAACUCGGGUGAAGGAACUAGGCAAAAUGGUGCCGUAACUUCGGGAGAAGGCACGCUGGUGUGUAGGUGAAGUCCCUGCGGAUGGAGCUGAGACCAGUCGAAGAUACCAGCUGGCUGCAACUGUUUAUUAAAAACACAGCACUGUGCAAACACGAAAGUGGACGUAUACGGUGUGACGCCUGCCCGGUGCCGGAAGGUUAAUUGAUGGGGUUAUCCGUAAGGAGAAGCUCUUGAUCGAAGCCCCGGUAAACGGCGGCCGUAACUAUAACGGUCCUAAGGUAGCGAAAUUCCUUGUCGGGUAAGUUCCGACCUGCACGAAUGGCGUAAUGAUGGCCAGGCUGUCUCCACCCGAGACUCAGUGAAAUUGAACUCGCUGUGAAGAUGCAGUGUACCCGCGGCAAGACGGAAAGACCCCGUGAACCUUUACUAUAGCUUGACACUGAACAUUGAGCCUUGAUGUGUAGGAUAGGUGGGAGGCUUUGAAGCGUGGACGCCAGUCUGCGUGGAGCCAACCUUGAAAUACCACCCUUUAAUGUUUGAUGUUCUAACGUUGGCCCCUGACCGGGGUUGCGGACAGUGUCUGGUGGGUAGUUUGACUGGGCGGUCUCCUCCCAAAGCGUAACGGAGGAGCACGAAGGUUAGCUAAUCCUGGUCGGACAUCAGGAGGUUAGUGCAAUGGCAUAAGCUAGCUUGACUGCGAGCGUGACGGCGCGAGCAGGUGCGAAAGCAGGUCAUAGUGAUCCGGUGGUUCUGAAUGGAAGGGCCAUCGCUCAACGGAUAAAAGGUACUCCGGGGAUAACAGGCUGAUACCGCCCAAGAGUUCAUAUCGACGGCGGUGUUUGGCACCUCGAUGUCGGCUCAUCACAUCCUGGGGCUGAAGUAGGUCCCAAGGGUAUGGCUGUUCGCCAUUUAAAGUGGUACGCGAGCUGGGUUUAGAACGUCGUGAGACAGUUCGGUCCCUAUCUGCCGUGGGCGCUGGAGAAUUGAGGGGGGCUGCUCCUAGUACGAGAGGACCGGAGUGGACGCAUCACUGGUGUUCGGGUUGUCAUGCCAAUGGCACUGCCCGGUAGCUAAAUGCGGAAGAGAUAAGUGCUGAAAGCAUCUAAGCACGAAACUUGCCCCGAGAUGAGUUCUCCCUGAGACUUUAAGUCUCCUGAAGGAACGUUGAAGACGACGACGUUGAUAGGCCGGGUGUGUAAGCGCAGCGAUGCGUUGAGCUAACCGGUACUAAUGAACCGUGAGGCUUAACCUU
This 2899-nucleotide ribosomal RNA is filed under the name Klebsiella pneumoniae. RNAcentral describes it as "bacterial LSU rRNA". It matches the Rfam family "Bacterial large subunit ribosomal RNA". Lineage: Bacteria; Pseudomonadati; Pseudomonadota; Gammaproteobacteria; Enterobacterales; Enterobacteriaceae. The record is from RNAcentral.